Triticum dicoccoides is the source of this 873-nucleotide long non-coding RNA. RefSeq lists it as uncharacterized. The record is from RefSeq and is a predicted model, not a curated record. The transcript has 3 exons. Lineage: Eukaryota; Viridiplantae; Streptophyta; Magnoliopsida; Poales; Poaceae.
UCUCCCCCUCGUCUCUUCCCAUCCCCCUCCUCUUCCAUAUGCCACCGCCACCACUUCCCCUACCCUCUCGGACGCCUCGUCUCUUCCACCUCCGCCUCCAUCACCUCCUCCCCUGCCUCUGCACCCGACCACGCGCUAUGGACGAGGACGAGGAGGCAACAGCUCGGGAGGCAGGCAAGAGGAAAACGGGAGGGAUCCCCUCCCGAGCCCCGCACCUCCCCUCUUUCCCACUGCGCCGCCAGCCCCUUUCCCUCCCUUCGCCGCUGCUACAGCUCCUCCCUGAACCCGCGGCGCGCCUUCUUCUCCGACCGUUGUUGCCCGCACUGCUACUGCCGCGGCCUGCUACUGCUCCCCCUCCUCCAGCUCCUCGCCCCAGCGGCGCUUCCUCCCCUCCUCUCAGGCAAGGCGUCUUGGGGUGUGGAGGCGGUGGGGCAGCAGCCAGUCAUUGUCCUGCAGCGGCAGCAGCAGGUCGGCUUCCCCGUUGUGGCGGCGACGCGUCUAGAGGAACCGGUUGCCCUUCUCCUGGAUGAGCGUCGGAGCCGAACAGCCGGAACUGACCAUUGAGGAGCUGGGGCAGCCGUGCCACAUAGGAGGUCGAGGUGGACCAGGAGAAGCUGCACGAGGCUCCAUCGCCUCCUUCUCAAAUUUGGUUUCUCUAUGCCUACAUGGUGUUUGAUGAAAAUCCAAGAAGGACGGGGAGGAUUGAUCUAUGCGGAUAAGAGAAGAAAACUAAAACAUGUUCACUAGAGUGGCCUGGGGUGGCCCGGGAGCUACGAGGAUGGGUUGAUGAGACUGGAUUGGCAGCCGACAGCGAGAGAGGAAGGGUGGUUGUUCCUGCGAUGAGGUGGUGAUGAUUGCCAUAGUGGAAUUUUG